GCUAAUGGACACCUAUCCUAACCAGUCUAGGGAAGGGCUUGGAGCUGAAUGAAGGAAGAGAUGAAGAUGAGCCACAGCAACCAAGAGCAGGAAGCUGAAGAAGAAUACAAAGGGAGAGGACAGUCCAAGCGCUUUGUCCCUUACCCUCAUCGCUGAUCAGAGAGAAGAGAGCAACAUUAAACAAACUUACAGUAUUGAGACACCAUGAAACCAGUGCCUAACCAAGGGAGAUAGAGACAGAGUCUGCUGGUGUUUGUCUGGUUCUUCUCUUCAGGGAGAAAUAAGAAGCAAAGAAAUAAAAGUUGUUUGAGCUCUUGUUGGCCACAAAGGUGAAGACUUCAAGGGAGUUGUUCUUGCAGAAUGGCAGACAGACAACACGUGCAAUCACUAACCUAGCAAAAGAGUGAGCCAGAUAUGCUGAAUGGCACAGCACCUGUUUUCUAAGACACAUGCAGCUGCUUCUCCAUUACCGGCACUGUGGUGCAAAGCAAUUUCUCUCCAAGCUAACUGCCAGGACUUGGCUCUCAAAGGAUGGAGGAAUCAUGGGAUGCCAGAAGGACAACUGGCAAGUCUGUCCUCAAAUCCCAGGCUUCCUGCACCCAGCAGAGCAGCACAGAAAAAAGCCCCCUACUAUCCAGAAAUCACUGGUGGGACUCACCAGCCCAGCAUUCCCAGCCUGAAUACUGCUACCUUGUCCAAAAGUGGUGGCUGCCUCGGGCAUGGAUGGUUGGGGAGGGAUGUGGAAACAGCUGCUGUGCCGAUACAGCUGCUUUGGAGCGGCACCCAAAAUCCCAGCCCAGAUCAACACCCUGGUCACCCCCUCCUUUGUAAACAAGCUUUUGAGCACCUGCUCUGAGGUCUAAAAUUGGACUGUUUCUGGUCCUGAAAUACUCCUAUGGAAAAGAGCUGUGUGAUUCUCUAAGGAAAGCUCUCAGCUCUAUUAAAAUGCUAAGCCAGACUAAAGCAACUUCAGAUCACCGGUCCUGGACAAAGAUUUGUCAUAUGAAGACAGGAAAGAAAAUGGUAGCCAAAGUAAUCCCAGGAAAAACACAAUGAAGGUUUGCAGAUUCCAGUGCAGUAGCUAAAUCAACAUGUUGUUUUGCCAAGAAAACAUUGUGAAAUCUGCGGGUUACUCUUUGAUCCUAAGCCUUCCUUACCCAUCUAUUCAUAAGCAGUAUCAUUAGACAGAAAUGAUUGUAAAACUAAGAUUGGUUAGUCGGUGAACUUCUGAUAAUAAACAGAUUGUUUUGUCAUGUCACGGCUGGUUACUAGACUUUUCUGGCAUACAUCAAUAUGGUACUGAACCCUGAAGAAAAAAUGGAAGAUGUAAAAUAUUACAUAUGGUAUGAUAGGCUUUCUUGGCCUUUUUUAUUAACAUUUUUAUGUAUAGGAGACAAUAUUUUGUAAUUUUAAAAGGGGAGGAGAACUGAAAUGAGGAACAGGUCAUUACUGUAGGCAGGAAGCAAUAAAAAGGCAAAUACAUGUCUCAUUUCUUUUGAUGUUUGCUAUAUUUAUAUUAUUUAUAUUUUUUUCCUUAAAAUUAAAUAAACCUAAUAAUGGUCAUCUUUUUUCUAACACAGAAAUACACUAACGAGUAUGAAAUUCUGAAGCUCUUCUGUCUUUCCCCAGGGCAGAUAUCAUGGAAAUGGAAGUUUCACUGGAAUUCUCCAUUCUUUUUUUAAUGGGAAAAUUAAAUCUUUUAAAAUCAAUAUCGAUUGGCAGAAAAAUUAAAGUAGCAUUUCUAAAGUUAAAACUCUAAAAUUAGAAGU
Molecule: long non-coding RNA, 1769 nt
Organism: Aptenodytes forsteri (emperor penguin)
Lineage: Eukaryota; Metazoa; Chordata; Aves; Sphenisciformes; Spheniscidae
Exons: 3
Source: RefSeq, a predicted model, not a curated record